Molecule: ribosomal RNA, 1372 nt
Filed under: uncultured bacterium
Lineage: Bacteria
Description: bacterial SSU rRNA
Rfam family: Bacterial small subunit ribosomal RNA
Source: RNAcentral
GAUGAACGCUGGCGGCGUGCCUAAUACAUGCAAGUCGAGCGAACGGACGAGAAGCUUGCUUCUCUGAUGUUAGCGGCGGACGGGUGAGUAACACGUGGAUAACCUACCUAUAAGACUGGGAUAACUUCGGGAAACCGGAGCUAAUACCGGAUAAUAUUUUGAACCGCAUGGUUCAAAAGUGAAAGACGGUCUUGCUGUCACUUAUAGAUGGAUCCGCGCUGCAUUAGCUAGUUGGUAAGGUAACGGCUUACCAAGGCAACGAUGCAUAGCCGACCUGAGAGGGUGAUCGGCCACACUGGAACUGAGACACGGUCCAGACUCCUACGGGAGGCAGCAGUAGGGAAUCUUCCGCAAUGGGCGAAAGCCUGACGGAGCAACGCCGCGUGAGUGAUGAAGGUCUUCGGAUCGUAAAACUCUGUUAUUAGGGAAGAACAUAUGUGUAAGUAACUGUGCACAUCUUGACGGUACCUAAUCAGAAAGCCACGGCUAACUACGUGCCAGCAGCCGCGGUAAUACGUAGGUGGCAAGCGUUAUCCGGAAUUAUUGGGCGUAAAGCGCGCGUAGGCGGUUUUUUAAGUCUGAUGUGAAAGCCCACGGCUCAACCGUGGAGGGUCAUUGGAAACUGGAAAACUUGAGUGCAGAAGAGGAAAGUGGAAUUCCAUGUGUAGCGGUGAAAUGCGCAGAGAUAUGGAGGAGCACCAGUGGCGAAGGCGACUUUCUGGUCUGUAACUGACGCUGAUGUGCGAAAGCGUGGGGAUCAAACAGGAUUAGAUACCCUGGUAGUCCACGCCGUAAACGAUGAGUGCUAAGUGUUAGGGGGUUUCCGCCCCUUAGUGCUGCAGCUAACGCAUUAAGCACUCCGCCUGGGGAGUACGACCGCAAGGUUGAAACUCAAAGGAAUUGACGGGGACCCGCACAAGCGGCGGAGCAUGUGGUUUAAUUCGAAGCAACGCGAAGAACCUUACCAAAUCUUGACAUCCUUUGACAACUCUAGAGAUAGAGCCUUCCCCUUCGGGGGACAAAGUGACAGGUGGUGCAUGGUUGUCGUCAGCUCGUGUCGUGAGAUGUUGGGUUAAGUCCCGCAACGAGCGCAACCCUUAAGCUUAGUUGCCAUCAUUAAGUUGGGCACUCUAAGUUGACUGCCGGUGACAAACCGGAGGAAGGUGGGGAUGACGUCAAAUCAUCAUGCCCCUUAUGAUUUGGGCUACACACGUGCUACAAUGGACAAUACAAAGGGCAGCGAAACCGCGAGGUCAAGCAAAUCCCAUAAAGUUGUUCUCAGUUCGGAUUGUAGUCUGCAACUCGACUACAUGAAGCUGGAAUCGCUAGUAAUCGUAGAUCAGCAUGCUACGGUGAAUACGUUCCCGGGUCU